AGCUUGCCGGGAAUAUCGACGGCCCCAAAGCCUCCUAAGUGCUGGGAAUCUCGUCUGGGGCAGCUUCUGUGCCAGCGGCUCCCUGGGGAGGCCCGUGGCACCCGCGCUGCUGCUCAGGGCCCUCCAAGCUGGGCCAGCAAGGCUCAGGGGCCGCUGCGGGACGGGCAGGCCGCUCAGCUGCCGGAGGCUGGGGAGGCCUCGGCCCGGUCCCGCUCUCGGCUCGCUGCAUACCCUCCGCUCCAGAGGUUCGGGGAGCGCUGUGUGCCCCCACCUACUCCCACAGUCACGGCCUCUCGGAGGGCUCCAGGGAGCCAGCCCCCCGCCGUGCAUGCCCUAGAUGAGGGCCUCCACUGCCAGGCGGGCCUCCACGUGUGCCCCCGCCUCCCCAGGGAGGAGCAGCAGAGCCGCGGUUCCUCAAUCUGUCGCGUGGCAUGACAGCCACUGCCUGGACCUGGAAGAUGCAAGGGUGGGGGGAGGGUGCCGGGAGGGGUGCGUCACUGCGGCACCCGCCUUUGCGGGCCUUUCCCGGGCCUCCCCGGCCCUGGGCCUGACUGCCAUGUGCCCACUGCCCUCCACCCCCCCGCCGCAGCUGAGCGUUACGACACGCUCGGGAACGGUGAUACCAUCUCGGAACUGGAAAAGGGGAAGCGGAACUGCACAGUCACACCCUGGCCCAGGCCUCCUGAUUCCUGCCCUCGGAACCGCCACUUGCCCAGGUCAGUCAUUCUCUUUGGGCCCUCCUUUACCCAUCUGUGAAAUGGAGUUGGAUGACACACAGAUAUGCUCAAGACCACAAUAAACAGGAAUGAAGUUCUGAUACAUGGUACAACGUGGAUGCACCUUGCAAACUUUGUGCCGAGUGAAAGAAGCCAAAGACGAAAGGCCAGACACCGUAGGAUUCCACUGACACGAAGCGCCCAGAAGAGCAAUAGAGAGGCAGAAAGUAGAUUCGUGGCUGCCAGGAGAGGGGCUAUGGAGGAAAAGAGGGGAGUGACUGCUAAUGGGUAAGGGCUUUCUUUUUGGGGUGAUGAAAAUGUCCUAAAAUUGAUGGUGGUAUGGUUGCAUUAGCCCUGUGAAUGCACUAAACACACUGAACUGUGCACUUGAAACGGGUGAAUUGGGUGGAAUGCGUACGAUUUACCUCCAUAUAAUGGUUAGGAAGAAAACCAGCCCAGGUCCGGACGUCAGGCAAAGCUGGUCUGCAGCAGCCCAGAGGUGCUGCGAGGCCAGGAGCGGUGGGACAGCGAGCUGGGGGGCUCGGCUGGGCCUGGACUCCUCAUCCCUGCCCAGGCCUGGUUCCCCAGGACCCUCAGAGUCCAGAACUACCCCACUUCCUUCCAAGGUACUUCUCCGCUCAAGUUAACCUGAAUUUUCUCUGCUCAAGUCAACCUGAAUUUUCUCUGCUCAAGUUAACCUGAAUUGUUUCUGCUGUUAGCAAUAAAAUAAAAAAAAACUAGACCGGCAAAAGGAUAUUUACUGGGUCCCCAGUUCUUAGCAGGCGGUGAGCACUCCAUAAAUGAGCUCGGCAAACAAAUGACCUAAUAAACGUGUAGCCUUAUUACUACCAGUUGCACGGUUUCUGCGGCCCCUUGGCUGCUGGGUGCCAUGCUGAGGGUUGUGCAUGCCUUAUUUCCUGCUGAACCUUCCAAAGUAGAGAUCAAUAGUCUUCUUUUAUAGACAGAUGAAAAAGUGGCCCAAGA
This 1700-nucleotide long non-coding RNA is filed under the name Dasypus novemcinctus (nine-banded armadillo). RNAcentral describes it as "lncRNA (ENSDNOG00000052318.1)". The record is from RNAcentral. Lineage: Eukaryota; Metazoa; Chordata; Mammalia; Cingulata; Dasypodidae.